This 1389-nucleotide ribosomal RNA is filed under the name uncultured bacterium. RNAcentral describes it as "bacterial SSU rRNA". It matches the Rfam family "Bacterial small subunit ribosomal RNA". The record is from RNAcentral.
AGAGUUUGAUCCUGGCUCAGGAUGAACGCUGGCGGCGUGCUUAACACAUGCAAGUCGAACGGGAAACUUUUCAUUGAAGCUUCGGCAGAUUUGGUCUGUUUCUAGUGGCGGACGGGUGAGUAACGCGUGGGUAACCUGCCUCAUACAGGGGGAUAACAGUUAGAAAUGACUGCUAAUACCGCAUAAGACCACGGAGCCGCAUGGCUCAGUGGGAAAAACUCCGGUGGUAUGAGAUGGACCCGCGUCUGAUUAGGUAGUUGGUGGGGUAACGGCCUACCAAGCCAACGAUCAGUAGCCGACCUGAGAGGGUGACCGGCCACAUUGGGACUGAGACACGGCCCAAACUCCUACGGGAGGCAGCAGUGGGGAAUAUUGCACAAUGGGGGAAACCCUGAUGCAGUGACGCCGCGUGAGCGAAGAAGUAUUUCGGUAUGUAAAGCUCUAUCAGCAGGGAAGAAAAUGACGGUACCUGACUAAGAAGCACCGGCUAAAUACGUGCCAGCAGCCGCGGUAAUACGUAUGGUGCAAGCGUUAUCCGGAUUUACUGGGUGUAAAGGGAGCGUAGACGGCUGUGUAAGUCUGAAGUGAAAGCCCGGGGCUCAACCCCGGGACUGCUUUGGAAGCUAUGCAGCUAGAGUGUCGGAGAGGUAAGUGGAAUUCCCAGUGUAGCGGUGAAAUGCGUAGAUAUUGGGAGGAACACCAGUGGCGAAGGCGGCUUACUGGACGAUGACUGACGUUGAGGCUCGAAAGCGUGGGGAGCAAACAGGAUUAGAUACCCUGGUAGUCCACGCCGUAAACGAUGACUACUAGGUGUCGGGGAGCAAAGCUCUUCGGUGCCGCAGCAAACGCAAUAAGUAGUCCACCUGGGGAGUACGUUCGCAAGAAUGAAACUCAAAGGAAUUGACGGGGACCCGCACAAGCGGUGGAGCAUGUGGUUUAAUUCGAAGCAACGCGAAGAACCUUACCUGCUCUUGACAUCCCGGUGACCGGCAUGUAAUGAUGCCUUUUCUUCGGAACACCGGUGACAGGUGGUGCAUGGUUGUCGUCAGCUCGUGUCGUGAGAUGUUGGGUUAAGUCCCGCAACGAGCGCAACCCUUAUCUUCAGUAGCCAGCAUUUUGGAUGGGCACUCUGGAGAGACUGCCAGGGAUAACCUGGAGGAAGGUGGGGAUGACGUCAAAUCAUCAUGCCCCUUAUGAGCAGGGCUACACACGUGCUACAAUGGCGUAAACAAAGGGAAGCGAGCCUGCGAGGGUAAGCAAAUCUCAAAAAUAACGUCUCAGUUCGGAUUGUAGUCUGCAACUCGACUACAUGAAGCUGGAAUCGCUAGUAAUCGCGAAUCAGCAUGUCGCGGUGAAUACGUUCCCGGGUCUUGCACACACCGCCCGUCA